Molecule: non-coding RNA, 21 nt
Filed under: Caenorhabditis elegans
Lineage: Eukaryota; Metazoa; Nematoda; Chromadorea; Rhabditida; Rhabditidae
Source: RNAcentral
UCAACUAUUCCUCUUACGAAA